UGUACACACCGCCCGUCACACCACGAGAGUUUGUAACACCCGAAGUCGGUGAGGUAACCUUUUGGAGCCAGCCGCCUAAGGUGGGAUAGAUGAUUGGGGUGAAGUCGUAACAAGGUAGCCGUAUCGGAAGGUGCGGCUGGAUCACCUCCUUUCUAAGGAA
Molecule: ribosomal RNA, 160 nt
Filed under: Escherichia coli
Lineage: Bacteria; Pseudomonadati; Pseudomonadota; Gammaproteobacteria; Enterobacterales; Enterobacteriaceae
Also listed under: 2 other names
Description: partial 16S ribosomal RNA
Rfam family: Bacterial small subunit ribosomal RNA
Source: RNAcentral